RNAcentral lists this ribosomal RNA (253 nucleotides) under uncultured bacterium. RNAcentral's name for it is "partial 16S ribosomal RNA". It matches the Rfam family "Bacterial small subunit ribosomal RNA", at positions 524 to 776 of the family's 1533-position model. The record is from RNAcentral.
UACGUAGGUGACUAGCGUUGUUCGGAAUUACUGGGCGUAAAGCGCACGUAGGCGGAUUUGUAAGUCAGGGGUGAAAUCCCGGGGCUCAACCUCGGAACUGCCUUUGAUACUGCAAAUCUCGAGUCCGGAAGAGGUGAGUGGAAUUCCUAGUGUAGAGGUGAAAUUCGUAGAUAUUAGGAAGAACACCAGUGGCGAAGGCGGCUCACUGGUCCGGUACUGACGCUGAGGUGCGAAAGCGUGGGGAGCAAACAGG